Rattus rattus (black rat) is the source of this 220-nucleotide long non-coding RNA. RefSeq lists it as uncharacterized. The record is from RefSeq and is a predicted model, not a curated record. The transcript has 3 exons. Lineage: Eukaryota; Metazoa; Chordata; Mammalia; Rodentia; Muridae.
AGACCUUAGUAGGCCCCGAGACCUUAGCACAACUGACUCCAUGAUGGAAGUGCCAUUCAGGCUGUAAAACUCAGCUUGCCCAUAGCAGCACCACCUGCUAAAAUGAAAACAAAGACUUACUCCAUCGAAGUCCAUGGCUCUGGUUCCCAUUGCCUCUGCUUUUGGAUGAGGAAACUGUCGUUUAAGGAGGACGUCCAAAACUGUGAUUAUUAAUAUGCUG